Molecule: ribosomal RNA, 253 nt
Filed under: uncultured bacterium
Lineage: Bacteria
Description: partial 16S ribosomal RNA
Rfam family: Bacterial small subunit ribosomal RNA
Source: RNAcentral
UACGAAGGGGGCUAGCGUUGCUCGGAAUCACUGGGCGUAAAGGGUGCGUAGGCGGGUCGUUAAGUCAGGGGUGAAAUCCUGGAGCUCAACUCCAGAACUGCCUUUGAUACUGAAGAUCUUGAGUUCGGGAGAGGUGAGUGGAACUGCGAGUGUAGAGGUGAAAUUCGUAGAUAUUCGCAAGAACACCAGUGGCGAAGGCGGCUCACUGGCCCGAUACUGACGCUGAGGCACGAAAGCGUGGGGAGCAAACAGG